Long non-coding RNA from Engraulis encrasicolus (European anchovy), 554 nucleotides. RefSeq lists it as uncharacterized. The transcript is spliced from 4 exons. The record is from RefSeq and is a predicted model, not a curated record. NCBI's taxonomy places the organism in Eukaryota, Metazoa, Chordata, Actinopteri, Clupeiformes, Engraulidae.
CCUCAACUCACCCACUCAAUGCAUCACCAUUUUGGAGGACAAAGUCUAUGCUGAAACCAUAGGAUACUUUUCCUUCAACCAACCUCAGCUGUGUCCAUGCCUGUCAGCACAGACAGAAUUCGUCUUCUUUUGGCGUUGGGGACCAUAUUUGUUUUGGAGGCUAUGGUGACUGCAGGGGGCCUUGUUGUCAGCAGAAGUUCUUCAUCUGCACGUCUGGAAUCUUUGCAAAUGGAACGUUCAUCUUCCUCCUUGGCAAAGAGUUCCACAAGAGAAAUCUCUCCAUCAUCAGACCAGCAUAACACAACUGUCAACCAGUCUCAACCUCCUGGCUUUGUGACAGGUGUCACUGUUGGAACAGUCUCUGGAGCAAUAGCUGUAUGUGGAAUGGUUUUUGCUGGAGUUAAGUUGGCGGGAUGUUUAGAGUGAGUUCCAAUCCACUGGUGCACAAUACUGAUAGUGAAGAACAUGUUUUACAUUCAUUCAUAUACAACUUCUAUUCACAGAUUUAUGUAAUUGAGCAAGCUGGCUGUUGUUGAUGUCAUUUAAUAUUUAAA